RNAcentral lists this ribosomal RNA (396 nucleotides) under uncultured bacterium. RNAcentral's name for it is "partial 16S ribosomal RNA". It matches the Rfam family "Bacterial small subunit ribosomal RNA", at positions 523 to 918 of the family's 1533-position model. The record is from RNAcentral.
AUACGUCGGUGGCGAGCGUUGUCCGGAAUUCUUGGGCGUAAAGAGCAUGUAGGCGGUUUUUUAAGUCCGGAGUGAAAAUGCGGGGCUCAACCCCGUAUGGCUCUGGAUACUGGAAGACUUGAGUGCAGGAGAGGAAAGGGGACUUCCCCGUGUAGCGGGGAAAUGGGUAGAUAUUGGGAGGAACACCAGUGGCGAAGGCGCCUUUCUGGACUGUGUCUGACGCUGAGAUGCGAAAGCCAGGGUAGCGAACGGGAUUAGAUACCCCGGUAGUCCUGGCCGUAAACGAUGGGUACUAGGUGUAGAAGGUAUCGACCCCUUCUGUGCCGGAGUUAACGCAAUAAGUACCCCGCCUGGGGAGUACGUCCGCAAGGAUGAAACUCAAAUGAAUUGACGGGG